Molecule: ribosomal RNA, 460 nt
Filed under: uncultured bacterium
Lineage: Bacteria
Description: partial 16S ribosomal RNA
Rfam family: Bacterial small subunit ribosomal RNA
Source: RNAcentral
CCUACGGGUGGCAGCAGUGAGGAAUAUUGGUCAAUGGGCGCGAGCCUGAACCAGCCAAGUAGCGUGAAGGAUGACUGCCCUACGGGUUGUACACUUCUUUUAUCAAGGAAUAAAGUGAGGCACGUGUGCCUUUUCGUAUGUACCUUAUGAAUAAGGAUCGGCUAACUCCGUGCCAGCAGCCGCGGUAAUACGGAGGAUCCGAGCGUUAUCCGGAUUUAUUGGGUUUAAAGGGAGCGUAGAUGGGUUGUUAAGUCAGUUGUGAAAGUUUGCGGCUCAACCGUUAAAUUGCAGUUGAUACUGGCAGCCUUGAGUACACUUGAGGUAGGCGGAAUGCGUGGUGUAGCGGUGAAAUGCUUAGAUAGCACGAAGAACUCCGAUUGCGAAGGCAGCGUACUAAACUGCCACUGACAUUGAUGCUCGAAAGUGUGGGUAUCAAACAGGAUUAGAUACCCGGGUAGUC